CCUACGGGGGGCAGCAGUGAGGAAUAUUGGUCAAUGGACGAGAGUCUGAACCAGCCAAGUAGCGUGAAGGAUGACUGCCCUAUGGGUUGUAAACUUCUUUUAUAUGGGAAUAAAAUGUUCCACGUGUGGGAUUUUGUAUGUACCGUAUGAAUAAGGAUCGGCUAACUCCGUGCCAGCAGCCGCGGUAAUACGGAGGAUCCGAGCGUUAUCCGGAUUUAUUGGGUUUAAAGGGAGCGUAGGUGGAUUGUUAAGUCAGUUGUGAAAGUUUGCGGCUCAACCGUAAAAUUGCAGUUGAAACUGGCAGUCUUGAGUACAGUAGAGGUGGGCGGAAUUCGUGGUGUAGCGGUGAAAUGCUUAGAUAUCACGAAGAACUCCGAUUGCGAAGGCAGUUCACUGGACUGCAACUGACACUGAGGCUCGAAAGUGUGGGUAUCAAACAGGAUUAGAUACCCCAGUAGUC
This 460-nucleotide ribosomal RNA is filed under the name uncultured bacterium. RNAcentral describes it as "partial 16S ribosomal RNA". It matches the Rfam family "Bacterial small subunit ribosomal RNA", at positions 338 to 795 of the family's 1533-position model. The record is from RNAcentral.